GCAGGGUAGCCUGGUGGUUAGAGUGUAGGGGCGGCAGGGUAGCCUAGUGGUUAGAGUGUAGAGGUGGCAGGGUAGCCUAGUGGUUAGAGUGUAGAGGUGGCAGGGUAGCCUAGUGGUUAGAGUGUAGGGGCGGCAGGGUAGCCUAGUGGUUAGAGUGUAGAGGUGGCAGGGUAGCCUAGUGGUUAGAGUGUAGGGGCGGCAGGGUAGCCUAGUGGUUAGAGUGUAGGGGCGGCAGGGUAGCCUAGUGGUUAGAGUGUAGAGGUGGCAGGUAGUCUAGUGGUUAGAGUGUAGGGGCGGCAGGGUAGCCUAGUGGUUAGAGUGUAGAGGUGGCAGGUAGCCUAGUGGUUAGAGUGUAGGGGCGGCAGGGUAGCCUAGUGGUUAGAGUGUAGGGGCGGCAGGGUAGACUAGUGGUUAGAGUGUAGCGGUGGCAGGGUAGCCUAGUGGUUAGAGUGUAGAGGCGGCAGGGUAGCCUAGUG
This is a long non-coding RNA of Oncorhynchus tshawytscha (Chinook salmon), 476 nucleotides long. The record is from Ensembl. NCBI's taxonomy places the organism in Eukaryota, Metazoa, Chordata, Actinopteri, Salmoniformes, Salmonidae.